Molecule: long non-coding RNA, 159 nt
Organism: Dreissena polymorpha
Lineage: Eukaryota; Metazoa; Mollusca; Bivalvia; Myida; Dreissenidae
Exons: 2
Source: RefSeq, a predicted model, not a curated record
AUAUGCAAACUUUAACAUAGAUUUAUCAAUAAUAUGCAUAUUCUAAGUAUAAAAGGGGCCAUAAUUCUGUCAAAAUGCUUGAUACAGUUGUCUGCUCUUGUUUAUAGGUUGGGGUCAUGAUGGUAAACAAGUAUGCAAAAUAUGAAAGCAAUAUGUCAA